CGUGGUUCUCGGGUGAUGCGCACUGGAAUCGGGCUUCCUCCUCUCUGGUUCCGGGUGUGUCACCCAAGAACCACA
Non-coding RNA from Myotis davidii, 75 nucleotides. Lineage: Eukaryota; Metazoa; Chordata; Mammalia; Chiroptera; Vespertilionidae. The record is from Rfam.